This 39-nucleotide ribosomal RNA is filed under the name Rhizopogon graveolens f. pomaceus. Its description in RNAcentral is "partial 28S ribosomal RNA". The record is from RNAcentral. Lineage: Eukaryota; Fungi; Basidiomycota; Agaricomycetes; Boletales; Rhizopogonaceae.
CAGGUAGGACUACCCGCUGAACUUUAAGCAUAUCAAUAA